CCUUCGCUGAUGAGUGACCACUUGACUUUCGUUCUUCUGAGCGCGCUGAAGCGACGUUUAUCGAUCUGAGGAGG
RNAcentral lists this small nucleolar RNA (74 nucleotides) under Eurypyga helias (sunbittern). RNAcentral describes it as "Small nucleolar RNA SNORD59". It matches the Rfam family "Small nucleolar RNA SNORD59". From Rfam's summary of the family: U59 belongs to the C/D class of snoRNA which contain the C (UGAUGA) and D (CUGA) box motifs. Lineage: Eukaryota; Metazoa; Chordata; Aves; Eurypygiformes; Eurypygidae. The record is from Rfam by way of RNAcentral.